GACGAACGCUGGCGGCGUGCUUAACACAUGCCAGUCGAACGGUAAGGCCCUUUCGGGGGUCCACGAGUGGCGAACGGGUGAGUAACACGUGGGUGAUCUGCCCUGCACUUUGGGAUAAGCCUGGGAAACUGGGUCUAAUACCGGAUAGGACUACGCGAUGCAUGUCGUGUGGUGGAAAGCUUUUGCGGUGUGGGAUGGGCCCGCGGCCUAUCAGCUUGUUGGUGGGGUGAUGGCCUACCAAGGCGACGACGGGUAGCCGGCCUGAGAGGGUGUCCGGCCACACUGGGACUGAGAUACGGCCCAGACUCCUACGGGAGGCAGCAGUGGGGAAUAUUGCACAAUGGGCGCAAGCCUGAUGCAGCGACGCCGCGUGGGGGAUGACGGCCUUCGGGUUGUAAACCCCUUUCAGCACAGACGAAGCGUAAGUGACGGUAUGUGCAGAAGAAGCACCGGCCAACUACGUG
This 464-nucleotide ribosomal RNA is filed under the name uncultured bacterium. RNAcentral describes it as "partial 16S ribosomal RNA". It matches the Rfam family "Bacterial small subunit ribosomal RNA", at positions 28 to 507 of the family's 1533-position model. The record is from RNAcentral.